GGGUUGUGAGGUUAAGCGACUAAGCGUACACGGUGGAUGCCCUGGCAGUCAGAGGCGAUGAAGGACGUGCUAAUCUGCGAUAAGCGUCGGUAAGGUGAUAUGAACCGUUAUAACCGGCGAUUUCCGAAUGGGGAAACCCAGUGUGAUUCGUCACACUAUCAUUAACUGAAUCCAUAGGUUAAUGAGGCGAACCGGGGGAACUGAAACAUCUAAGUACCCCGAGGAAAAGAAAUCAACCGAGAUUCCCCCAGUAGCGGCGAGCGAACGGGGAGCAGCCCAGAGCCUGAAUCAGUGUGUGUGUUAGUGGAAGCGUCUGGAAAGGCGCGCGAUACAGGGUGACAGCCCCGUACACAAAAAUGCACAUAUUGUGAGCUCGAUGAGUAGGGCGGGACACGUGGUAUCCUGUCUGAAUAUGGGGGGCCCAUCCUCCAAGGCUAAAUA
Molecule: ribosomal RNA, 441 nt
Filed under: Shigella sonnei
Lineage: Bacteria; Pseudomonadati; Pseudomonadota; Gammaproteobacteria; Enterobacterales; Enterobacteriaceae
Description: bacterial LSU rRNA
Rfam family: Bacterial large subunit ribosomal RNA
Source: RNAcentral